UGGGGAAUCUUGCACAAUGGGCGAAAGCCUGAUGCAGCGACGCCGCGUGCGGGAUGAAGGCCUUCGGGUUGUAAACCGCUUUCAGCAGGGACGAGGCCGCAAGGUGACGGUACCUGCAGAAGAAGCCCCGGCUAACUACGUGCCAGCAGCCGCGGUAAUACGUAGGGGGCAAGCGUUAUCCGGAUUCAUUGGGCGUAAAGCGCGCGUAGGCGGUUUGUUAGGUCAGGAGUUAAAUCUGGGGGCUCAACCCCUAUCCGCUCCUGAUACCGGCAGGCUUGAGUCUGGUAGGGGAAGGCGGAAUUCCAAGUGUAGCGGUGAAAUGCGCAGAUAUUUGGAAGAACACCGGUGGCGAAGGCGGCCUUCUGGGCCAAGACUGACGCUGAGGCGCGAAAGCUAGGGGAGCGAACAGG
RNAcentral lists this ribosomal RNA (410 nucleotides) under Verrucomicrobiota bacterium. RNAcentral describes it as "Verrucomicrobia bacterium partial 16S ribosomal RNA". It matches the Rfam family "Bacterial small subunit ribosomal RNA", at positions 355 to 776 of the family's 1533-position model. The record is from RNAcentral. Lineage: Bacteria; Pseudomonadati; Verrucomicrobiota.